AUUGAACGCUGGCGGCAGGCCUAACACAUGCAAGUCGAGCGGAUGAAGGGAGCUUGCUCCUGGAUUCAGCGGCGGACGGGUGAGUAAUGCCUAGGAAUCUGCCUGGUAGUGGGGGAUAACGUCCGGAAACGGGCGCUAAUACCGCAUACGUCCUGAGGGAGAAAGUGGGGGAUCUUCGGACCUCACGCUAUCAGAUGAGCCUAGGUCGGAUUAGCUAGUUGGUGGGGUAAAGGCCUACCAAGGCGACGAUCCGUAACUGGUCUGAGAGGAUGAUCAGUCACACUGGAACUGAGACACGGUCCAGACUCCUACGGGAGGCAGCAGUGGGGAAUAUUGGACAAUGGGCGAAAGCCUGAUCCAGCCAUGCCGCGUGUGUGAAGAAGGUCUUCGGAUUGUAAAGCACUUUAAGUUGGGAGGAAGAGCAGUGAGUUAAUACCUUGCUGUUCUGACGUUACCAACAGAAUAAGCACCGGCUAACUUCGUG
RNAcentral lists this ribosomal RNA (484 nucleotides) under uncultured bacterium. Its description in RNAcentral is "partial 16S ribosomal RNA". It matches the Rfam family "Bacterial small subunit ribosomal RNA", at positions 30 to 507 of the family's 1533-position model. The record is from RNAcentral.